CAGCGUAACAAAAAGUAUCAGAAACCUCUUCCAGAAAAUCCAAAAACACUUAGAAAACUACUCCCACUUCAGCAGUACUAAACAUUGUACAAUAAGUAAAAACUUGAUACAGCUACAGAAAAGAAAACCGGUAAAUUAUGUGCCAGCCACCGCGGUUAUACAUAAGGACCUAGCCAAGAACCAACGGCACAAAAGUGACAAAACAUGAGAACAACAAUAACUCCAGCAGUAACAAGCUCACAGAACACUAAGAACAACAAAUCUCUCAUUAUCAAAAAUAAGUCACCAAAGCUCAAAAAUAAACUGGGAUUAGAUACCCCACUAUAUGAGCCGUAAAAAACAACACGCCCGAGAACUACGAACUAAAGUUUAAAACUCAAAGGACUUGGCGGUUUUUUAGAUCUCUCUGGAGGAGCUUGCCACCAAACCGAUAAUCCACGAAAAACCUCACCAGUCUUAGCAUAUUCAACCUGUAUACCAUCGUCGUCAGCCUACUUCUUAAGAAUAGUAUGCAAAUAAGAACUCCACUCCAUUACGUCAGAUCGAGGUGCAGUUUAUAAACUGGAGGUGAGUGAGCUACAAUAUUCCCCCAAAAAAAACACAAUUAUGGAAAGUAUUAAUGAAAAACAAACUUGAAAUAGGAUUCAGCAGUAAUGUUAAACUAAGAAAAUCAACAUGAAAACCCCCACAGCUCUAAAAUGCGCACACAUCGCCCGUCACUCUCGUCCUAAGAGGAGAAAAGUCGUAACAAAGUAGGCGUAUUGGAAAAUGCGCCUGGUAUAAAUUUUUAUAGUUGAAAUACAMCAGUAGCUUUCAUGUUUCAAGUU
RNAcentral lists this non-coding RNA (827 nucleotides) under Culcita novaeguineae. Lineage: Eukaryota; Metazoa; Echinodermata; Asteroidea; Valvatida; Oreasteridae. The record is from RNAcentral.